Cherax quadricarinatus is the source of this 485-nucleotide non-coding RNA. Lineage: Eukaryota; Metazoa; Arthropoda; Malacostraca; Decapoda; Parastacidae. The record is from RefSeq and is a predicted model, not a curated record.
AGUGCGGGUCCCCACAAGCAGCCCUCAAGGUUGUGACGUCAUGAACUUGGAGUGAGGCUCCUGGUAUAUAAGUCACUGGAUUCAUGCAGAAGCAUCAGUCUCAUCUUAGUCACUAAACAUGUUUGUCAAGGUUGUGUUUGCGGCAGUGUUUGUGGCAGUGGUGAUGGGUGUUCCCCAGUCUUACCCUUCUUACCCUCCCACCCCAACAUACGGCGUUUCUGGUCCUCAAGCUCCUGCUCGGUACGACUUCAAUUGGACCGUCAAAGACGACCAGUCAGGUAACGACUUACGGUCAACAAGAGUCUCGUGACGGCGACAACACUCAUGGCUCUUAUCACGUGCUUCUUCCCGAUGGUCGUGUUGAAAAUGUAGUCUACACUGUUAACGGUGACUCUGGUUACGUGGCUGAAGUGACUUACCAGGGCCAGGCCCAGCACCCAACACACCAAACCUACACUCCAGUUCCUCUCUAUGGUUAAAUGAAC